Long non-coding RNA from Oreochromis aureus, 2585 nucleotides. NCBI's taxonomy places the organism in Eukaryota, Metazoa, Chordata, Actinopteri, Cichliformes, Cichlidae. The record is from Ensembl.
UCUUGUUCGUUUCAUUUGGAAUUCAUUGUGGUGGUGUAUAGACCCAAAAAUGUUAGAAUUGUGUCGAUGUCCCAAUAUUUAUGGACCUGACUGUAGAUCAGGGGUAGGCAACUUCAGGCCUCGAUUGCCGGCGAUCUGCAGGUUUUAAGAUCUCACCCUGGGUCAACAUAUCUGAAUCAAAUGAUUAGUUCAUUACCAGGCCUCUGGACAACUUCAAGACAUUUUGAGGAGGUAAUUAGGUCAUUUGAAUCAGCUGUGUUGGAUCAAGGAAACAUCUAAAACCUGCAGGACACUGGCACUUGAGGCCUGGAGUUGCCUACCCCCGAUUUAGAUAAUAUUUCAGGCUCUCUAAACCUACAGUUAGUGGAGCUUUGUAGCCAGAUCUCUAAGAAACAAUUGUACCUUUCUUAGCAAUGAUGCAUGCUUAAAUCAUAGAAGCUUUGUAAUGCUGUGCAACAGAUUAAUGGGACAGUAGUGCAGAGGAUUCAGAGCUUGUCUUAGAGUCCUUGGGUAUAAAAUAUUUCUUCAUCAAUAUUUCUUCUCAAGAAAUCCAGUGACACAGCAAACGAUAACUCUUGAUUGUUCCAAACUUUAUUUUUCAAGUUGUAAACAAAUACAGUUUUAAAAAAGUGUUCUUCUUUGUCACUAUCACAUUCUUCUUUCAAUACCAAAAAAUGAAAAAGGAGUCAAUGAUUAAAUGAAUUUAAAAAAAUAUGAUUAUUAUAACUCUAUCAUCCAAUUUGAAUAAUAUUAUAAUUCUUUUCUGUUUUUCUUUUUUGUUUGUUUGUUUUUUUUUCCUCUGGUAAACUAAUCGUUCCCUUUCAGUCGAUUCACUCGGUACAACACAUAAGUAUGGGAUAUUAUGUCCUCCCGUGUCCUGGCUGAAGAAACCUUUAAUCACGCCUUUAAGGCAGAUGACCUGUGAUAACAUGCACACAUCCCCGCCUGCAGAUAUAACCGCUGUCAUCACAGACAUCCCUCAGUUCUUACGCUCGUCCCCUCGCUGAGAACACCUCUACUGAGUUGGACUAGCUAGCUGCUGCUAGUUAGCUCCUUUGUCUGCCGACUUGAACUUAGCCCUGUUGGUGUUAGCCUCCAACGCGCAGUUGGUACGUGAGCAAAGCAGAAAUCUUCUGUUCGCCCCUGUCCUCAGGGGUGUGGUUUCUCUUUCCAUGACAGUGACCAGCACGAUGACUGCCCUGUCUGCCUGGGGAUCAUCCACCCUAGGAGAGUAUUGACGGAGCCUGAAGCCUGUGCAUUUUGUCGCCAGCUCUGGUGCUCGUCCCUGGAAAGAUGGGUGACUUUUAUGGAAAAAGUGCUGGGACAGACGGCUGUCACAUGGCAUGACCCUCUCCUUUCCGAGUCUGGAAGCCCCGGCUCCGAAUCCGAAGACAAGGAUUAUCCGGUCGACGUCCCCCGCAAUUCGCUGGGCUGACUACAUGAAAUGUGUUGAUGGGUUAGCCAAAGACAAGCCGGAACCAUGCCUGGGUUGAAGCCCACCAGCACUCCCCAGGAAGACGAUGUCGUGCUGGACAUUGGCAUGGACAUCCAUGGUUUGGCAGAGGAUGAGCAGCAGAGCUCAGUGUCAGCCCAGUGUGCCGCCGCUGUUGCGCUGGUUGCCCAUGAUGACAUCUCUUUUUUCCCCCCUGUUUCGUCGUGCUUCUGAGAAGGUGCAGGCGGACUGGCCCUCUCCUCCGCCCGCUCAGAAGCUGUUGUGGUUCAUGGGCUUUUUUCUCCCCCUAGAUCCCACAACGACCAAAAACCGCCUUUCCAUGUUCCCAGGCCUUAUCUGUGAGCUAACAGCAUUAGAGAUGGACCGAUCCGAUAUUACGUAUCGGUAUCGGGUCACGUGCGUCACUGCGUCACGUGAUAGAGCGGCUGUGUGUAUUUGGAGCCUCGCUACCAAACCAGCAUUUCAUCUCCGAGGAAGUUCUCCCAGAGAGAAGUAAAGCAAGUGUGGCUCACUAUCCAGGUACCACCACAAUAACAGAGGCCCUGAAGACACAGAAGAAGCUGUGGUCGUCAGAGGACUACAGCACCUUUAACAAUGAGGUGGGAGGAGGCUGUUGGGCUCGGAUCCUCAACCAGAACUAUGUCAAUGGACAAAUGACUGCCACCAUCUCCUGGAAUCUGGUGGCCAGUUAUUAUGAGGAUCUCCCAUUCGGCAGGGACGGGCUCAUGACAGCUGAGGAGCCCUGGAGUGGCAACUAUGUGGUCGAGUCUCCAAUUUGGAUCACGGCUCACACCACACAGUUUACCCAGCCAGGAUGGACCUACCUGCAGACUGUUGGACAUCUGGCACAAGGUGGAAGCUAUAUUGCCUUGACUGAUGGGAAGGAAAUCUCACUGUUGUCAUAGAAACGAUGACUCACAAUCAUUCAGUGUGCAUAAGACCUCCACUACCUCCCUUUAAUGUAACAUCCCAAAAUGCAACUUUCCAGCUAAAGGGGUCUUUUGCAUCCAUUAAAGAGCUCCAAGUGUGGCGGUCACAGUUUGACUUUAAGACGAGCAAGGCUUCCUUUUUGAGAAACUAAAACCACUGAAGCUUGUAGAUGGCUCGCUUACCCUGAAUCUGGCUGAAGACG